GAUGAACGCUGGCGGCGUGCCUAAUACAUGCAAGUCGAGCGAACGGACGAGAAGCUUGCUUCUCUGAUGUUAGCGGCGGACGGGUGAGUAACACGUGGAUAACCUACCUAUAAGACUGGGAUAACUUCGGGAAACCGGAGCUAAUACCGGAUGAUAUUUUGAACCGCAUGGUUCAAAAGUGAAAGACGGUCUUGCUGUCACUUAUAGAUGGAUCCGCGCUGCAUUAGCUAGUUGGUAAGGUAACGGCUUACCAAGGCAACGAUGCAUAGCCGAUCUGAGAGGGUGAUGGGCCACACUGGAACUGAGACACGGUCCAGACUCCUACGGGAGGCAGCAGUAGGGAAUCUUCCGCAAUGGGCGAAAGCCUGACGGAGCAACGCCGCGUGAGUGAUGAAGGUCUUCGGAUCGUAAAACUCUGUUAUUAGGGAAGAACAUAUGUGUAAGUAACUGUGCACAUCUUGACGGUACCUAAUCAGAAAGCCACGGCUAACUACGUG
RNAcentral lists this ribosomal RNA (497 nucleotides) under uncultured bacterium. RNAcentral's name for it is "partial 16S ribosomal RNA". It matches the Rfam family "Bacterial small subunit ribosomal RNA", at positions 28 to 507 of the family's 1533-position model. The record is from RNAcentral.